CGACGUAGGAAUCUGCCUUCAAAUGGGGGAUAGCAGACCGAAAGGUCUAUUAAUACCGCAUACGUACAUAGCUCGACAGAGUUAUAUAUAAAAGGAGUAAUCCGUUUGAAGAUGAGCCUGCGUCCGAUUAGCUAGUUGGUAGGGUAAUGGCCUACCAAGGCGACGAUCGGUAGGUGGUCUGAGAGGAUGAUCACCCACAAUGGGACUGAGACACGGCCCAU
Molecule: ribosomal RNA, 221 nt
Filed under: uncultured bacterium
Lineage: Bacteria
Description: partial 16S ribosomal RNA
Rfam family: Bacterial small subunit ribosomal RNA
Source: RNAcentral